This 459-nucleotide ribosomal RNA is filed under the name uncultured bacterium. Its description in RNAcentral is "partial 16S ribosomal RNA". It matches the Rfam family "Bacterial small subunit ribosomal RNA", at positions 338 to 795 of the family's 1533-position model. The record is from RNAcentral.
CCUACGGGGUGCAGCAGUGAGGAAUAUUGGUCAAUGGUCGGGAGACUGAACCAGCCAAGCCGCGUGAGGGAUGAAGGUACAGAGUAUCGUAAACCUCUUUUGUCAGGGAACAAAGGCGGGGACGUGUCCCCGGAUGAGUGUACCUGAAGAAAAAGCAUCGGCUAACUCCGUGCCAGCAGCCGCGGUAAUACGGAGGAUGCGAGCGUUAUCCGGAUUUAUUGGGUUUAAAGGGUGCGAAGGCGGUCUGUUAAGUCCGUGGUCAAAGUCCGGGGCUCAACCCCGGCCCGCCGUUGAAACUGGCAGUCUCGAGUUGGAGAGAAGUAUGCGGAAUGCGCGGUGUAGCGGUGAAAUGCAUAGAUAUCGCGCAGAACUCCGAUUGCGAAGGCAGCAUGCCGGCUCCACACUGACGCUGAGGCACGAAAGCGUGGGUAUCGAACAGGAUUAGAUACCCCGGUAGUC